Neltuma alba is the source of this 942-nucleotide long non-coding RNA. RefSeq lists it as uncharacterized. NCBI's taxonomy places the organism in Eukaryota, Viridiplantae, Streptophyta, Magnoliopsida, Fabales, Fabaceae. The transcript is spliced from 3 exons. The record is from RefSeq and is a predicted model, not a curated record.
GAUUUAGCCAUCAAGAAAUUCGCUGAGAGUCGAGACGACGAAGUCCGUGGCUGCACCGCCGAAGCCGGAAAUAGGUCGUCGGAUUCCGUUUACGAUAAGAACCAUGAGUUUCAGUUCAUUGGCAAAUCGCGAUCGCGUAGCGUAGCAGCAAAGCCUAAAUGCUUACAGGAAACCUGCUACGGAACUCCGUGAUUUCAUCAAGGUGGAGAGCAUCCGGGAUGCAAUGGUUGAGCGUGGAGUAAUGGCGACUGAGUUCUCUUACAUCCAAUCAAAUAAUAUCCAGUUUUCUUGCACAGAUCUUCACCUACAUCCGAAGCCUCAACUUGCUGGUUCAUAUUUGAAAGCAAUAUGGUGGGGAUCAGAACGCAGAAAAUGAACAAGGUCGUCUUCUUCAUGGUAAAUAUGUAUGAUCUCUGUUUUUGACUUGUUAGUGAUCGAGGAAUGUUAAGGAAUUAACAGGGAUUGGCUUGCAAUUUAUAUCAACAAUGCCUUGCAUUUCAGCCGCUGAAAAUAUGACUUAUUCUUAUAUAUUUCGUUGGAUAUUUGGCAUUAACAAUUUUGAUUUCUUUGAAAGUGAGGUUAUAGAUCUCGAAGAGUCAAAGACUAAAACGCUAAGUGACAAUAUAUCUUUAAUUUUACGGCCGAAUCAAACAAGUGAAGGUGUGGCUAACGGCAGUUGAUAUAGUCACCAUGAUGAUUCCUCAACCAACCAUUUGGGAGUUUUUUUUAUGGUUAAUUUGUUUGUUUGUGUUGUGCUUAAAGUGUUGUUGUUCGUCUGCCACAACUACAUGCAAAUACGAUGCAAUGAACCCAUUUGGGACAGUGUUUGCAAGUGAGAGUUGGAAUUUCUUAUGGUUAUAACUGCAAGUUUACUGUAUGAUAUCCAAAAGUCCAGACAGACAGAGAAAGACACAUGGGAGACAGAGAGGACAGAUAAGUGAU